UACAGAGGGUGCGAGCGUUAAUCGGAAUUACUGGGCGUAAAGCGUGCGUAGACGGCUAUCUAAGUCGGGUGUGAAAGCCCCGGGCUCAACCUGGGAAUUGCAUUCGAGACUGAAUAGCUAGGGUGCGGAAGAGGGAAGCGGAAUUUCCGGUGUAGCGGUGAAAUGCGUAGAUAUCGGAAGGAACACCAGUGGCGAAAGCGGCUUCCUGGUCCAGCACCGACGUUCAGGCACGAAAGCGUGGGGAGCAAACAGG
This 253-nucleotide ribosomal RNA is filed under the name uncultured bacterium. Its description in RNAcentral is "partial 16S ribosomal RNA". It matches the Rfam family "Bacterial small subunit ribosomal RNA", at positions 524 to 776 of the family's 1533-position model. The record is from RNAcentral.